This is a long non-coding RNA of Nasonia vitripennis (jewel wasp), 1079 nucleotides long. RefSeq lists it as uncharacterized. The record is from RefSeq and is a predicted model, not a curated record. The transcript has 3 exons. NCBI's taxonomy places the organism in Eukaryota, Metazoa, Arthropoda, Insecta, Hymenoptera, Pteromalidae.
CUAUCAGUUGCUUGUUGGUCUUCGGUGAUUUCGGAGACUGCAGUUUGUCGAUCGUAUUCGGUCAUUAUUCUUUAUUUUUUUAGUCUUCUCAGUCAAUGUGAAAAUAACGCGAUUAUUGUCGAAGCUUCGUUAAAUAAGUAAUCGAUCUCUUUAUGAUAAAUUUAACAUCGCAGAAUAAGUCGUAACUAAGUAUUCGCGAAAAUGUCGGAAGGCGACAUGUUUAAAGAGAUCACAGAGCAUCGCGACGAGCUGUCGGAUGAUGCCCAACGAAAAAUCGUCGAACAGUGGGAAAUUUUGCUGAAGAAAUACGUUUCUACUCAGUAUAAUUGGAUGGAUGUGCUCAACAGUUUAUGUGUGUUACUCAUAGCAGUGGUUCUGUUUAUUUUUGUUUUUGAUUCUUCUUGCAGUACGUACAUCGAAUGCAGCACAAGUUAAAGAAUUAUGCAAGUUAAUGGAAACAUUUGUAAAAACAUUAGUUUAUUUAUUUUCUGCAAAAUUGUAUGUACAAAUGAAGAGCGCGUUUUUAACCACAUAACUUUUUACACUGGGUUGUGGUUCAGCAAUUUUAUUGACUUUAUAUACACAUCAUAAAUAGAUAUCUGUACCACUGACACGUUGAGGACAAAGCGCUAGAUAUUACAGCUACUUAAUCAAUUUUCCUCUAUUUAUGUUUAGAUCUAUUUAGAAAGAUGCUCUCAUGUCAUCAUAUCAAAUUCGUUACUGUCGUUAUAGCCGUUUAUUAACUGCACAUGAGAUACAAAAUUGCAAACAAUUUAUUGUUCAGCAUUACAAUGUCUUUCUAAUUUGUAUUUCUUUUUUUCAGUGUUCUUCGGUUAUAAGCUGUACAAAAGUCUUUCGGAACGUGAAAGGAAAAGGGAAGAGAAGAAGAAAAACAAACAGAUGAAGAAGAAGAAGUAGAUAAAAGUCGAGUUUUUUUUUUAAUUGAAUGUUUUGUGUGAACUGAUGUUGCAUUUUCGAUAAAAAUUUAUGCAACAGUGACUGGUGUACAAUAAAACAACAUUCCUUAUAUUUAAUUUUAACAAUAUUUUGUUAUUAAAGAUGCAUAUAUUUAUAAGAAA